Molecule: long non-coding RNA, 7142 nt
Filed under: Taeniopygia guttata (zebra finch)
Lineage: Eukaryota; Metazoa; Chordata; Aves; Passeriformes; Estrildidae
Description: lncRNA (ENSTGUG00000029629.1)
Source: RNAcentral
UUUCAUAAGCUCUUAGCUUUUUAAUAUGAGAGCCUUUUAUUUCUAUAAAACUGCAGCUGCUUUCAUUUAGUUUUAUGGAUUUAAUGUAUUUAGAGGUUCCAAGAGAAGCUUGGAGCUGGCGGUAUUAUCCAGACAUUUGCUGCUUAGUGCCUUUUCUAAUGACAAGACUUAUCUGAUUCAGAACAUUUCAUAUCUGUAGCAAAAUUAAUUCUCUCUCCUUUUGUCUUUAGGCCUCAAGAUUUAAUUUGUUCAGGGGAUUCUUUCAAGCAAUUUUUUUUUCCCCUGUGCAGAUACCCUGAUGACUUACUUCCAGUGCUGAAGUUGUUCUUCAUGCUGGCAUUUUAUUCUGAAGCAUUUGCAACUUGGUACUUAUGUGCCUUCCCAUCACCACAGCAUCUGAUCUGCUCUCAGGAUUUAAUGUAUUUUGUCCUCCUGCUCUGUGAGGCAGAGGUAGCCGCUCUCUCCAUUUUACACACAUGGAAAUUAAGCAAAAAGAGAACCAGAGCUUGUAUCUGCAAUGGGCCCAUAUUGAUUUCAAUAUGAGUCACCCAUCUCAAAUACUCUUCUAAGUGUAACACAAAGUUGUUCAGUCUAGGCUGAACAGGAAGUUUUCUGGAGGAGUGGAAGUGAACUUGGGCAUGAUACUAAGGUCACCAUUCUUUCUGUGGCAUGUGAAGCAGCCUAUCAGCAUUCAAAAAGCCCAUGAUCUUUUUGUGCGUUGGACCAUUAGACAAGUAUAUUCACUUAAGACUCCUUUGUCUUCUCAUCAGACUAACCCAAGGACAGCAGCAGGAUGCUAAGGCAUGGACCAAGAUUUUGCAAUUACUGAAACACCAAUUUAGUUAUCACGUGCUAUUACUCUGUCACCUCUGUUGCACAAGAGAAACUGCACCUGUUCAGAGGCAUGGUUAUUAUCCAUAUCUAUUUUCUCUAUUUCAUCUUGCUGCUUUUUGUCCUCUGCAAUAACUCCCGAGGACCUUUAGAAGGCCUCAUACUAGCCUUCUCCUUCACCCUAUCUAUUAACCUGAUCAGCAAUGAAAAAGUUCAUUGCAAUAUUCAUACAUCAUUUUUAGGCUUUAUUGUUAAUAUCAUUUAAUACAUUUAUGGGCAAUUUACACCUUAUAGAAGCACCAUUUCUAAUCACUUAGGACAGUUCACUUUCUUAAACUCUUCCUGCAAUUUUCUUGCAACAUUAAGGACUAGACCACUGAUCCCUAAUGUACCAUUUUCACAUAUUUAUUUUUGUCUGUUUAAAAGCAAACAAAUAAAACCAAAACACCAUUCACACAUUUGAACAUUGCUGGUUUUGAAAUCUAAGUCUGAAAAUGUGUAUAUUAAAAGUCAAUUAUUAAAUCGGUUGUAAUUGGAUCUGAAUUUAAAUUUUUGAAAUUGUGAAAUAGCUGCAAGGACAAUAUUAAAUAAAUAAGAAAUGAACUUUAGGGUCAGAAGACAAAGUUUCUCCAAAGUCAUCAAAACUUUUAAGUUUGUCUUUCAGGUGCUUUUCAUAAAAAUAGGAACCAUGAAGAAAUCUGAAUUUGAGGUGACUGGGAAUUGGACUGGGUCUAGAGAUCAGAACACAAAAAACAAUUGCAGCAGCAAAAUAAAAGUCAGUGCUUUCCCCACCCCCACGAAGACUUCUAGAAAGUAAAAAUUUGAAAUAUUGAGAACACAAGACUCACUGACAAGGAAAGACAUUCUCAUGCUUUUGCUUCCAUUUGUUCAAAGAUCUGGGGGGGGAAGACCAAACUCCCUAUGUCAAAAACGUGCCAUUCCUAUCCUUUUAGAAGCUCAUGUUUAUAAGGCAUUUCAAUAAAGUGAAAACGAUUUGCUGCUUUGCUAAAGUACAAAGCCACAAAAAAUACCUUCAUGUUUACAUACCAUAAGGCAGCCAAAGGGCACCCCUCAAACCCUACUAAAUGCAUUCCCAUGCACCUACUUUCAAGAAUUUUGAUGGAAAAGCUUGUAAAAGCUUGUGUUUUAUCAACUGAUGGGGCAGGCGUGUGGCACCAUUCCUGAAACAGGGGAAAAGACAAAGGAUAGUAAGUAUGAGACUGUCUAUGUAUUUCUCAUCUGAGUCCCACAAGACUAUUAAAUAUUAAAUACGUGUGUUAGAUGCCUCACUGACCACUGAAGAAAGAUUGUGCUAGGCACUGCACAGGAGCAGACAGCAUCUUGAAGAGCUUACAACCCAAAAGGUGAGACAGCAAAUGGAGGUGACAGCAAAAAGGAGGUGACAGCAAGCUGCUUUUCAAGGAUCACUGCAAAAUGAUCAAGCAAAAAACGAAGUGGAAGCAAACCCCAACUUUUCAGCCCAAAGUUGAGUGAGGUGCAUAGGGAGGGCAUAGGCCCUCUAGCACCUCUACGUACAGACACCUUCCCUGCACACACAAGUUUGGAGAGAAAUUGUGGAGGGAAGGGCUUCUCCAAGGAGUCUGGAGAGAUGGGCGGCAGAGGGCACCUCAGGAUGAGACACACAAGAGUCCACCCUGGGAACCCGCAGCUCAAACUGAACAAUGUCUCUUCAGGCUAGCGCUUCACAGUUCCCAUGCGGGGUUCAGAGGAGGGGGAGUUUGCUAUCUCAGGGAGGAGGCAACAGAGCUGGGAUGGGGCAGGGGGGGCACAGCAGUGGAUGUUUGUACACAUCACAGCUCUCCUAGAAACUCAUUCUCCCUGGUUUAAUUCUCCAACAGAGCCACAGACAGAGCUGAACGCCAUACGCUCCAUUUCAUAUCCCUUCCCUUAUAAACGUUUAUUAAGGCUUUAUGUUACACAACUAUCACCGAUACAAAACAUUUAGGCUUCCAGGAGACCGAGUGCAUUAAAACUCCUUGCGUGGAAUGGCAGGAACCAAUUCCUCAUUUUUACUGGCUGGGAACUGAACCUUAAUAGGCCACAGAGCACAAAACUCAUAAACCAUUGGAGUAAGGGGAGGAGGAGAGAGGUGGAAUAAGGAGAGAGGAAGGGGAGAAGUUUGUUGCUGAGGUUAAGAAAUUAUAACAGAACAAACCAAAAUAUAUUGAUCAGGCCACAGUGAGGAAUUCUCCCUACCCAUGGCAGAGUUAACCUUGCCACUGAUGUCCAGCAGCUGGAGAGGACACAAAUAAAGCAGGACCCUGCUUUUAACAAAAUGAAGUGUUGUUCCUUGGCACUGGAAUAGCAGCAAUCCUCAUCUCCAGCUCUGGUGCCCCUCAGGAGAGUUUGGGGAUUGAUAGCUCAGGCAUGGAUGGCCUUUGCCUAGCAACCACCAAAAAGUCUGUCUGUCAGCCUGGUCUACAGUCACUUCAUCCUGCCUUUCCUCUGCUCCAAGCACACAGCAGGGUCUCCAAGCUCAUUUGUCAGACUUCAGCUCCAUCCACCUCUAAGCCCAUCUAAAAAGAGUGCUCUCCUUGUACCAACUGCAGGUAGCAAGAUGGUUUGGACCUUUGUGUAUUUAAUCCCGUUCCCCUUCGUCUUAUUCUGCUGUUGCAGCCCCUCAUUGGGAAGCUCUCAGAGGAGGGACUACCUGCUCUGAGGAGAUGGUUAACCCAACAGACUUACCUAGGAGGAAGAAUUAAGCAGUUCUGUAGCCACACAUCUCUUUCUCUCUGCCUGGCUGUGAUGUUAAAAUACCUGUUUCUGCUGAUGAGAACACUUUGGGUGCAAGGAUGCUUUUAAAACAGGAUGUGGGACAAAGCAAAAAAAAAAGAAACCCACCAAAAAAUAGAAAACCAAAACCAGCCAAAAACUUACAACAUCUGUAAGCUAAUUUCUAAAGGCUGCUUUCCCUAGCAAAUAUCAGGCUCUCUAAAUGCACACACAAUUCUUCAGAUUGGAGAGGAAAAGUCAAUUCCACAACUCAGAACACCUCCCAGAUGACUUAAAUUCUGCAACCAUUUAUUUUGCUGCAGCAAGUUACUGCUAGGAUCCCCCCUAUGCUGUGUCACUGGGCCACCUGAGCCAGGAAUGGUUUGACUUCCUGGAAUAGUGAGAAGUCACUUUACUCUCCCACCCAAGAAGAGGAACUUUUUAGGAAAUUAUACAAGCUGAAAUGUGCAAGCCAGAACUGGUAAAUGCAAUUGUGCUCCUGUCAGAGUCAGAAGAAGUGGCUGCUCUCCAAAAUCUGGAGCAAGUUAGUCCCUACAUCAGGGUUUCUUCAAGUCAGAACAGAAGAUAAUCACCAUUCUGGGCACAAGAGGGAUAUUUACUUAAUGUGUUCUGACUUUGGACAUGGAAAAUUAUAAGAUACAUGGCAAAAGUUACCUUCCAGAGCUUAAAGUUAUCAUAAUGUCAUUCUUCUAAUUACAAAUCAGACUCUUAAUACCAAAGGCCAAAAGGAGCCUAGUUCCAGAGGUAAGAGCAGUAUUAGCUAAAAUUACUUUGGAAGCUCCCUGGUAUCACAUCACAGCGCACCAUGAGGAAUCUUCUCCCCUCUCCAAUGGGUGCCUCUUUUCUUGGGAAAUUGCAGCCACAACCCAGUCUAAGCACAGGGCUACGAGAUGCUUGAUUCAGCCAUGAUUAUCCUGGACCAGCAUUGGCAAGGCUGAGACAGAUGGCUGGUUAUUCUCACUCUUGCUAGGGCAGAACCAACGUUUCUCAUUGAAAAGCUUUUCUCUUAAAAAAAGGUGGAAGAGACAAUAGUUUUUUUAACAUUUUUAAUGACAUCGAAUUCAAUUGAAAUGAGCUACUUUGUCAUCAUGGCUUGUUAUCGAUUGCAAGCUGAACAUCCUCAGGAAAACUGGGACAAGCAGGAGUAAAUCUUACAUAAAAAGCACAGUUCUAUUGAUCACAGCAGCCGCCACUGGCCCUCCACUGAAGCAACAACUAGCUACUUUAAUAAAAAUGUAAUUCUCCAAUAGAGAGGAAUCCAUCUGCCUUCCAAACCACUCUGCAUCAUACGCUUCCAAAUGCUCUUGAGAGAGAAAGCAGACCAGUUCAUCCCCCUGACAAAACACUAUUACUAUGCAGUGACACCAUCACACUUGAUUUAAAUACAUCUGGCAUUUUCAGGUGUAAUGCCUGAAGCAAUAAUACUAAAAAACCAGAACAACCUUAGUUACACCCUUAGGGAAUUGCACAUGUGUGAACUAAGUAACUUAUAGAAUUCCUAUUUCCAUAGUAUCAAUCUCUUUACAUUCUGAAAUGUAUUUAUCCUCCUACUGCUCAGGGGAAGAAGUGAUCAUUGCUGCUCCUAUUGCUUUUCCAAUGCUUUCUCAGAUCUUCAUUUCCUAUGGCAUGGUAUUUGGAGACCUGAAUCUUGGUGUGGGCUUGAGGCCUGGUCAUGGUCAUGCAGGAAGACAGUGUGUCACUAUAGGACACGAGAAAGCACAAUGUGAGCCACCUGCCACUUUGCAAGGUAAAAGAGAGAGUUUAUUUUCUGACUCCAACUUUUAUAUUUUUCUAAAGGUGACAGUGGAUUGGAGAGUGAAUGGGCCACCUCUCCAAAGACAUCGGAUAAACCACUAGUAUAUCAAGUCUCUCCACUCUUAUGAAGGAAUGCAAAACAACAUGUUAUUUAUAGAAACCGUGUGGGAAAGUUUCCCAAUAGAAUGUAAACUCAGAAGGCUUUAGAAAAACUCAAGAAUCAGGGCGACAACAGUGCUGUGUCAGAAAUCUGGCGUUGACACCAGCCACAGAUCGGACCCCAGGCUCUGCUGGGAGCCAUUUGGCCAAACUGGCUGUGAUAAUUAUGGCAGGUGUCCCUGAGGAUGUAUUGGGACUUCUAUCUCCAUUUAUACCACUAGGAAGCCAUAUCUGGCUCCAAAGAGACUGCUGUAGAUAUUUCCCUUGCCACCACCCACAGUGCCACAUCAACAUGUGCUUUUAAGCUAGGCAUGGGGAAAAGGAGGCCCAGAGCCCCCCAUUCUUUUACUGAGCCCCAUGAGAAGUCCCUCCCCUCUGUCACAAGCGGGAUCCUUGCACAACAAAGGACACGUAGCUCCUGUGUGGCCAUGUGAUUCUGGGGACUACAGGGCCUCUGCUCAGCAAGCUGAGAAGUUAAUAGAAGGAAAACAAAUCCCCCUUAUUUGCCUCAGGGUUAAGGGUCAGUGUAAGUAAAUCAUUAAUUAACAGGCUGGCACCUCAGUGCUAUUGACAGGGUUUUGUGUACACAGUGGGACUGUGGCACCCCCUGCAAUUAAGCAGGCAGUGAACUUUUCUCCUUCUGCUGCCUCCCACUCAGCUUGAGCAGGCUCACUCUCCCCUGUCCUCAACAGAGGCUCCUCUUUAUUCUUCCUCUUAGCACAGGUUACCAGCUGCCCCUGUGCUUAUUUUUUUUGCCUGUCCAGCCCAGCUGCCUUCAGAAACCAAGUUCCCUUAUUUUUUUUCUUUCCAACUUCAUGCAAUACCUGCUCCUUUAAAAAACCUCACUGGCUAUGCGUCCGUCAACUUAGGCAUUUAUUUCAGCCCCCUGCUCAGGUAAAGAUGCACUUACAGACUCAAAAGGGCUUACAGGUACAUGGUGAUAACUCUUCAGCCUUAAGACACUAUAUUGUCUCAGAGGAAAAAAAAAAAUCUUCAGCUCUCAGCCCUAGAUUUAAAUAAAAAUUUGGGAUCCUAAUACGUUACUAAUAACACCUGGAUUUCUUUUUUUUUCCCCCCUUCUAAUCAAAACGGGUCUGUUGACAACCUGAUUUCUAUACCAGAUGGGAAAUUGCCACAUAAAGAGCAGUCAUUUCAGAAACUCCACAGUCACAGAUCCUCUUAACAAUCAGGCCUAGAGUGUCAGAGGAGCUCCUAAGAAAUUUGUUACACCAUUUUCUUUGCAGGGGAGUCUGCUUUCUUUUGGUUGCUUUGGGUUUCAGAAAGGUCUUGGCCUGCAGGCUUAAGGUCUGAGGUUGAUAUCAAUGACCAGCUGCCUCAGAGCUACAUCGUGCUGAGAUUAACACUGGCUUUGGAGCUGAGCUUAGAAUCCCAGGGAACUCCAGCUGGAAACCCAAGAUCAAGGUUCAUCAUUCUCAAACCCAAAAUUGAACAUCCCAUCGGUGUGAUGUGAAGGGACAGCCUGAAGUCUGCCAGUUCCCAAACUACAAAUCAGAGACUGCCCUGGCAGAAACUUAAUGUAUAUUUAUGUGGCUCAUAAUUAAAGCCUGUUACAGAUGCUCUGAUCCACUCAAACUUUUGAAAUAAAAGCAUCUGAACAGACAACUUUCUCUACUCCUGAAGCA